AUUGAACGCUGGCGGCAGGCCUAACACAUGCAAGUCGAGCGGAUGAAGGGAGCUUGCUCCUGGAUUCAGCGGCGGACGGGUGAGUAAUGCCUAGGAAUCUGCCUGGUAGUGGGGGAUAACGUCCGGAAACGGGCGCUAAUACCGCAUACGUCCUGAGGGAGAAAGUGGGGGAUCUUCGGACCUCACGCUAUCAGAUGAGACUAGGUCGGAUUAGCUAGUUGGUGGGGUAAAGGCCUACCAAGGCGACGAUCCGUAACUGGUCUGAGAGGAUGAUCAGUCACACUGGAACUGAGACACGGUCCAGACUCCUACGGGAGGCAGCAGUGGGGAAUAUUGGACAAUGGGCGAAAGCCUGAUCCAGCCAUGCCGCGUGUGUGAAGAAGGUCUUCGGAUUGUAAAGCACUUUAAGUUGGGAGGAAGGGCAGUAAGUUAAUACCUUGCUGUCUUGACGUUACCAACAGAAUAAGCACCGGCUAACUUCGUG
RNAcentral lists this ribosomal RNA (484 nucleotides) under uncultured bacterium. RNAcentral describes it as "partial 16S ribosomal RNA". It matches the Rfam family "Bacterial small subunit ribosomal RNA", at positions 30 to 507 of the family's 1533-position model. The record is from RNAcentral.